This 362-nucleotide ribosomal RNA is filed under the name unidentified archaeon. Its description in RNAcentral is "bacterial SSU rRNA". It matches the Rfam family "Archaeal small subunit ribosomal RNA", at positions 100 to 461 of the family's 1478-position model. The record is from RNAcentral.
GUAGUCAACAUGCCCAAAGGACGUGGAAUAACCUCGGGAAACUGAGGAUAAACCGCGAUAAGGCCAAGGUUUCUGGAAUGAGCCAUGGCCGAAAUCUAUAUGGCCUUUGGAUUGGACUGCGGCCGAUCAGGCUGUUGGUGAGGUAAUGGCCCACCAAACCUGUAACCGGUACGGGCUUUGAGAGAAGGAGCCCGGAGAUGGGCACUGAGACAAGGGCCCAGGCCCUAUGGGGCGCAGCAGGCGCGAAACCUCUGCAAUAGGCGAAAGCUUGACAGGGUUACUCUGAGUGAUGCCCGCUAAGGGUAUCUUUUGGCACCUCUAAGAAUGGUGCAGAAUAAGGGGUAGGGCAAGUCUGGUGCCAG